CCCAGCCGAUGAUGGUUCGUUAUCCCUGUCUGAGUUUCUUGCCUGAGGGAAAACCAUGGUCUGAGGCUGGG
Molecule: small nucleolar RNA, 71 nt
Organism: Sorex fumeus (smoky shrew)
Lineage: Eukaryota; Metazoa; Chordata; Mammalia; Eulipotyphla; Soricidae
Product: small nucleolar RNA R38
Exons: 1
Source: RefSeq, a predicted model, not a curated record